GUCUCUGUGGUCUAGUGGUUAAGGCACCGGUGUUGAAAGCUGGGGGCCCGGGUUCGAUUCCCGGCAGAGACA
Molecule: transfer RNA, 72 nt
Filed under: Lytechinus variegatus (green sea urchin)
Lineage: Eukaryota; Metazoa; Echinodermata; Echinoidea; Temnopleuroida; Toxopneustidae
Description: tRNA-Ser
Rfam family: tRNA
About the family: Transfer RNA (tRNA) molecules are approximately 80 nucleotides in length.
Source: RNAcentral